AGUGGGGAAUUUUGGACAAUGGGCGAAAGCCUGAUCCAGCAAUGCCGCGUGAGUGAAGAAGGCCUUCGGGUUGUAAAGCUCUUUUAGUUGAAAAGAAAAAGUCAUGACUAAUAGUCAUGACUCAUGACGGUAUCAACAGAAAAAGCACCGGCUAACUACGUGCCAGCAGCCGCGGUAAUACGUAGGGUGCAAGCGUUAAUCGGAAUUACUGGGCGUAAAGGGUGCGCAGGCGGUUCUGUAAGUCAGAUGUGAAAUCCCCGGGCUUAACCUGGGAAUUGCGUUUGAAACUGCAAAACUAGAGUGCGGCAGAGGGGGGUGGAAUUCCAUGUGUAGCAGUGAAAUGCGUAGAGAUAUGGAAGAACAUCGAUGGCGAAGGCAACCCCCUGGGCUAGCACUGACGCUCAUGCACGAAAGCGUGGGGAGCAAACAGGAUUAGAUACCCUGGUAGUCCACGCCCUAAACUAUGUCAACUAGUUGUUGGGCCUUAUUAGGCUUGGUAACGUAGCUAACGCGUGAAGUUGACCGCCUGGGGAGUACGGUCGCAAGAUUAAAACUCAAAGGAAUUGACGGGGACCCGCACAAGCGGUGGAUUAUGUGGAUUAAUUCGAUGCAACGCGAAAAACCUUACCUACCCUUGACAUGUCAGGAAGUUUUCAGAGAUGAAAUCGUGCUCGAAAGAGAGCCUGAACACAGGUGCUGCAUGGCUGUCGUCAGCUCGUGUCGUGAGAUGUUGGGUUAAGUCCCGCAACGAGCGCAACCCUUGUCAUUAAUUGCCAUCAUUUGGUUGGGCACUUUAAUGAGACUGCCGGUGAUAAACCGGAGGAAGGUGGGGAUGACGUCAAGUCCUCAUGGCCCUUAUGGGUAGGGCUUCACACGUAAUACAAUGGCGCGUACAGAGGGUUGCCAACUCGCGAGAGGGAGCUAAUCUCAGAAAGCGCGUCGUAGUCCGGAUCGGAGUCUGCAACUCGACUCCGUGAAGUCGGAAUCGCUAGUAAUCGCGGAUCAGCAUGUCGCGGUGAAUACGUUCCCGGGCCUUGUACACACCGCCCGUCACACCAUGGGAGUGGGUUGCACCAGAAGCAGGUAGUCUAACCGCAAGGAGGGCGCUUGCCACGGUGUGAUUCAUGACUGGGGUG
This 1136-nucleotide ribosomal RNA is filed under the name uncultured bacterium. Its description in RNAcentral is "bacterial SSU rRNA". It matches the Rfam family "Bacterial small subunit ribosomal RNA", at positions 353 to 1482 of the family's 1533-position model. The record is from RNAcentral.